This is a long non-coding RNA of Dama dama (fallow deer), 533 nucleotides long. RefSeq lists it as uncharacterized. The transcript is spliced from 3 exons. The record is from RefSeq and is a predicted model, not a curated record. NCBI's taxonomy places the organism in Eukaryota, Metazoa, Chordata, Mammalia, Artiodactyla, Cervidae.
GAAGAAAUCUCAAGUUGGAGGAGAAUCAAGAGGAGAAUGUGGAAGAGUAAACAAAGAAAGAAGAUGUGUGCUUCACCACGGAAAUUGAAUCUGCAAAGCAUAUGGAAACCUCAGGGUUCCAGCAUUUCACUCAGACCUCUGAAAAUCAUCACUGUGGACUUUAAGAAGCAACAGGAAACCCAGAUGAAUAAAAACUGACUUCCUUUCUGGCUGUCCCAGUAGAUCAUGUCUAAUAGCUGCAGUAUUCAUGGUGCCUGUCCCCUGGGCUUGGACACCAGAUACUGCAUACCUGAGUCUAACGCAUCCAGGAACCGUAGGUGAAGGUGGUAUGGAAUGAGGAGAGAGAGAACUGACUUUUGCAUCCCAUCAAAGCAAUAAGAGCAUACCUUUGGGACAAUGGAUGGCAAGGCAUCAGAGUUGAACUGAAGCCAACUCUGGGUUUUUAAAGAAAAAUUUUCAUAACACUUUUAAGUGAGCAGAUUCAAAAGACAGCAUGAAUCAGUCUCAAAAUAUUCUGGGUAAUUAAUUCCCAA